GGCGCAGGCGGCUUCUCAAGUCGGGUGUAAAAUCUCCCUGCUCAACAGGGAGGGAUCAUCCGAUACUGUCAAGCUAGAGAGUAGCAGAGGGAGGCGGAAUUCCCGGUGGAGUGGUGAUAUGCGUAGAUAUCGGGAAGAACACCAGCGGCGAAGGCGGCCUCCUGGGCUAUUUCUGACGCUGAGGCCCGAAAGCGUGGGGAGCGAACA
This 207-nucleotide ribosomal RNA is filed under the name uncultured bacterium. RNAcentral describes it as "partial 16S ribosomal RNA". It matches the Rfam family "Bacterial small subunit ribosomal RNA", at positions 568 to 774 of the family's 1533-position model. The record is from RNAcentral.